RNAcentral lists this unclassified non-coding RNA (1345 nucleotides) under Caenorhabditis elegans. Its description in RNAcentral is "Non-coding transcript of protein-coding gene F08F8.10c". Lineage: Eukaryota; Metazoa; Nematoda; Chromadorea; Rhabditida; Rhabditidae. The record is from RNAcentral.
AUGCUUCCAGCUACCGAAGGACCAUCAGCAUCGUAUCAAACAAUUCAAGAUGCGAAUCCAACCAAAUUUAUAAAUAAGGGGAUACAACCGCGAAUUCCAAAGAAAAUUAUGAAUCCAAAGAGUCCAUUUUACAAUUUAAUUCUCGAGACUGGAAUGGAAAGACAGUUGGAUGGAAAAUAUGUGUUAGAGGAAGAAGCAAAAUUGACACCGAUUGAGGAAAAGGCGAAGAAUAAUUACGUGAGAAGGAUGACAGUGCACAACCCCCGUUUCCUUAAGCUUACCGAAAAAAUUCAAAAAAAUAGAACUUUCCGACUUCGAAAAGUUUGGCUCCUUAAUAAAGAAACAAUGAUGCGUAACGUUAACCAAGUAAAACUCGCUCAACAAUUAUCGAGGGAAGCUAAAAAAGAAUCAAAACAAAGGUGUUACGCACAACAUCUUCAGAAAGUUAAGCGAAAAAAGGGAGCUACUACUGAAGAAUCAACUGAUAUUGACCAAGGAGGUGAAGAACAGUAUUAUGAUGAAGAUGAAGAAAUUGAAUUUAAUCUUACUGGUGAACAACACAAAUAUCAGUAUCUUGGGUACGACAGGAUGAACGACAACAAGGCGCGGAAAAAAGCAGCCAAGCUCAUUUCGUAUCCUGGGUACACCGGAUCAACGUUAAAUACGUCUAAUGUAUAUCAAACAUACCCAGAGAACGACUAUUCGUUCUUUCCUGCUCCAGCGCCUUCCUCUUUGUCAUCCUUCAAUCCAUUUGGACAAACUAGCCCAUCUUCAGCUCUAACUACUGCAUUUGGAAUUCCACCGCCAACUACAUAUUCAUCUCAUCAACAGAGUUCUACUUAUUCUCCAAUUGUUCAAAGCAUUUCAAGUCAACCAACCGCUGGAUUUACAAAUCCUUACAGUCAGCUAGCCUCGAACUUCAGUACAAGUUCAUUCGAUUCUUCGGCUCCAGUUUCUCCAGUUCCGACACAAGUUGCACUGGAAGUUUCUGAGCAAGAACUUUCUAGACAAAAAAGACUUAUGGAGAUUGAAGAAGAGCUAAAGGCGAUCAAUGGAAGAAAAUUGCAAAUUCAAAUGGAAGCUGAAAUCAAACAAGCAGAAGCUGAACUGGCUCAGAAACAACAAAUGAUGGAAAUUCGUGAAAGAGAGCUCAGGGAUAGAGAGUAUUUCGAGAUUGGGCGUAGAUCACAAUUAGAACAGAAUAGGUUCAUCCUCUUGGAAUCGGCCGGUUGACUCCCAUCAUUAUCAAGGAAAAAUUAAGCCCGCAUUCCCAAAAAAGAGUCGCGGUGGGAAUAAGAAGUAUCCUAAAAAUCAAUAUCAACACGGAGGAAUGGAAUAUGACUAG